AGGAGGCAGGUAGCCUAGUGCUUAGAGUGUAGAGGUGGUAGGUAGCCUAGUGGUUAGAGUGUAGAGGAGGCAGGUAGUCUAGUGGUUAGAGUGUAGAGGUGGCAGGUAGCCUAGUGGUUAGUGUGUAGAGGCGGCAGGUAGCCUAGUGGUUAGAGUGUAGAGGUGGCAGGUAGCCUAGUGGUUAGAGUGUAGAGGUGGCAGGGUAGUCUAGUGGUUAGAGUGUAGAGGUGGUAGGUAGCCUAGUGGUUAGAGUGUAGAGGCGGCAGGUAGCCUAGUGGUUAGAGUGUGUAGGAGGCAGGUAGCCUAGUGGUUAGAGUGUAGAGGAGGCAGGUAUCCUAGUGGUUAGAGUGUAGAGGUGGCAGGUAGCCUAGUGGUUAGAGUGUAGAGGAGGCAGGUAGCCUAGUGGUUAGGGUGUAGAGGUGGCAGGUAGCCUGGUGGUUAGAGUGUAGAGGCGGCAGGUAGCCUAGUGGUUAGAGUGUAGAGGCGGCAGGUAGCCUAGUGGUUAGAGUGUAGAGGGGGCAGGUAGCCUAGUGGUUAGAGUGUAGAGGGGGCAGGUAGCCUAGUGGUUAGAGUGUAGAGGCGGCAGGUAGCCUAGUGGUUAGAGUGUAGAGGUGGCAGGUAGCCUAGUGGUUAGAGUGGAGAGGAGGGCAGGUAGCCUAGUGGUUAGAGUGUAGAGGAGGCAGGUAGCCUAGUGGUUAGAGUGUAGAGGGGGCAGGUAACCUAGUGGUUAGAGUGUAGAGGGGGCAGGUAGCCUAGUGGUUAGAGUGUAGAGGCGGCAGGUAGCCUAGUGGUUAGAGUGUAGAGGUGGCAGGUAGCCUAGUGGUUAGAGUGUAGAGGAGGCAGGUAGCCUAGUGGUUAGAGUGUAGAGGUGGUAGGUAGCCUAGUGGUUA
Oncorhynchus tshawytscha (Chinook salmon) is the source of this 890-nucleotide long non-coding RNA. NCBI's taxonomy places the organism in Eukaryota, Metazoa, Chordata, Actinopteri, Salmoniformes, Salmonidae. The record is from Ensembl.